UACGAAGGGGGCUAGCGUUAUCCGGAAUCACUGGGCGUAAAGCGCACGCAGGCGGAUCGAUAAGUCGGGGGUGAAAGCCCGGGGCUCAACCUCGGAAUUGCCUUCGAUACUGUCGGUCUCGAGUCCGGGAGAGGUGAGUGGAAUUCCUAGUGUAGAGGUGAAAUUCGUAGAUAUUAGGAAGAACACCAGUGGCGAAGGCGGCUCACUGGCCCGGUACUGACGCUCAGGUGCGAAAGCGUGGGGAGCAAACCGG
This 253-nucleotide ribosomal RNA is filed under the name uncultured bacterium. RNAcentral's name for it is "partial 16S ribosomal RNA". It matches the Rfam family "Bacterial small subunit ribosomal RNA", at positions 524 to 776 of the family's 1533-position model. The record is from RNAcentral.